ACAAACUUACUGGGAGUUUUCAGAGCAGGCAAAAAAGUUCAAGUAUAAGAAAAAAAAACACACCAGUAAGAAAUGUGAACCAUUUUCUCGGAAGUUACAAAACCCAGACUGAACUGAGUUUGUAGGUCACUUUCUUCAGAUACACCAAAGAAGCUGAAGAAGACAGGUCAAAGUUAAUGGGUUCCUAACCAGCUCAAGACUCUGAAUUCAUCUGAAGGAAACACUUUCCACCAGUUCCAGCACAUCGCAUACUGUGGUCUUUCCAUGCAAAAUGGUGAGAAGAAAGAUAAAUGUAUGUCAAUAAGCAUGGACACUAUUUUGCAAGCAUUUGCUUAAAAAAUGGAGACUAAAAAGGGAUACUUUGAUGGCACAUAUGUAUACCUGAUACUAUCCUUUAACAUAAAAAAAGGAAAAAAAAAACCUUAAAAUCAUCCAUGGAGAUUAUUCCAUAAAUACGAUUUAGAUUUCGUUAUGAAAACAUCACAGAGGGACAUUAACAUUACCUUGGAAUAGCAAAAAUUUAAGAGCACUGUUCUUAGGUGACCUGUAGACUUCCAUACAAGUUGCUGGAAAUCUAUAAACCACUCUUCUAUUUUUAGACAACUUCUGCCCACAUUGGACCAUGUAAACAUUAAAUUUGCCUUGAAUUCUGACCCCCCCCCACCAGAAACAGAGCCUGUAUUCAGAAGUUCCCCUUCCCUGUGGAUGAGUGCAGGCGCCUACCAUAGAGAGAUUCUGUGGCCAGUUCCCAGAUGAUGCUGGGCUCUCCUCCAGGCCAGUGCUUCGGUGUAUGCUGCCAGCCAGUGGAUGUGAACGAUCCCAAACUCACUUUCCUGUGGCACCUCAUCCAACAUCAGACCUCUCCCUUACAGCUAAAUCUGCAUCUCUACACUGUGCCUCUCACCUCCCAAUGCUGAAUCCACUUCUGAUUCAAGUUCAUGCCCUGAUAUGAAUGUCCAUGAAAAGUCCACAUUCACCCUGUACUGAGACAUGUUUGGGCUCAUCCUGUCUUUCACAGAUGUUCUGCUGAGAUCCACAGUGUUUUGUAGUAUGUUCAAAUCAUACUAGGAACAUUUUUAAAUUUGUAUUUUAAAUCAUCGAUUUUAUUUUUUUAGAGUCAAUGCUUCCCAGCUCCUGACAAUGUCUGCUAUUAAUAUUUAUCUUACCUUAAUCUAUGAUCCGUGAAUCAAUUUAUAAACUAAUCUGAGUCAUCAUUAUAAGUGAAAACUACAGUAGAUAGGAGCUCACUCUGUGUUGCACAGUUCAGUUUGAACAAACAUGCAGUAUCACUUAUGCACCAUUACAGUGUCCUACAGUAUAAUUUCACUGUCCUAAAGUUGCUACAUGUUCCAUCUGUGAUACUCUCUACUCCUCUUGAAAUCCCAAAAAUCACUUUUUACUCUCUUUACCAUUAUGCCUAUUCUGAAGUAUUAUAACAUUGAAAUCAUACAAUAUUCAGACUAGACCAUAAGAUUAUAGAAUCAUACUAGCCCACUUUUAAAUUAGCCUGCAACAUUGUAGAAUCAGAUGAAAGGGGAUUUGCUUAAAGAGUUUUACAUUCUGUACCUGAAAAACUAAUUUGCAUUGCAUGCCUGGGAAUUGCAUGAAAAAUUACAGUUCAGAGUAGUUUUACUAUCAAUUUUCUGCAAGUUAACUUCUGCCUCUUAGAUGAAAGGAAAUGAGUCAGCUUCUUAGUUUUUUAGGUUUCUCUUCUGCAACAUAGAAGGAAUAGCAGUGCCUAUUCUGUAGCAUAUUGUGAGAUGUAAAUUAGCAAAUGACUAAGAUUUAUAAGUAUUAUGUAAAGUAAUAAGUAUCUGUAUGGAAAGUAGGAAACGCUACGCAAGUUACCUAUUAACCAUAAUAUAGAGUCACUAACUUCUUAAUUGUUUAAUAAUAUAUUUAUAUUAAUAGUGUCAUUUGCAGUAGUAUUAUUUGAUUAUUAAGCAGUUUUGAGAGUACAGAAAAAAAAACUAGAUUUCCAGAGAAAAUAUUAACAAGGAAUCAAAAAUAAGUAUCUUACAAGGACUAGGGGAGAUAAUUUUGCAAUAGUAAGAGGCUACAAGUUAUUCUAUCUGACUAGAACACAACUUUCAAAAUAUGCAGAAUAUUAGGUGUCCAUAUAAGGAGAGAGAAGAACCUCAUUGUUAGUACUCUGGAAAAGCAGAAGUAGUAUAAUAAAGAUAAGGAAUAAUUUCCUAUUUUCAUAAAUAUUUAUGAAAUUAUUUUUACAUCCGAGACCUUUUGCCUAUGGUGAAAAGAGCCUAGCAUUGACGUACAGAGGCAGGGCUCUAUGUAUUCCUUCCCUCACUGAAUCCAAACUCCUGUUUCUCUCAUUUUCCAGCAGAGAAAAGCAGGAUAAAGCAGUUUUGUAGAUGGCCAGAGCUAGAAUGCGGUGGACACAGUUCCUAACCAAUCCUGUAAGGCUUCUUUCUCUCCAUGCUUCCUGAAGUUUACGUGCUCCAUUUGUUUUAAUCCUAAGAAAAGGCACAUCUUCCUUCUGUUCCACAUAAUCAGGCUCUGUUUAUAUAUCGCAGAAGGUUCAAUGUAGAACUGGUGCGUGAGGGAGACAGUGAAUGAAGGAAUGGUUAAUACUAGUCUCCACGUCGGGUACUCACUUGUAUCUAUCAUCAAAUGCUGAAGUAGCCCUUUGUUUCCACAUCAGGUUCUCCUGGGGUUUGCUUUAUGCAGGCUUUGUCUUCAUUCUGGCCCUUUUCUUGGCAUUUAUUACAAUAUCAGUCCAAUUUAUCAUCUCAACUGGCUUCAUGAUGGUCUUCAGCCUCUUUUUCUUCUAUGGGCUCUCUUGGAUGAGUUGAGGAAUAAAAUUUCUCUCUGUCCCUCUUUCCCUCGAAGAAACAAGCUUGAUUUUCUCACAUGUUCCUUUUCAGCUGGCAUGAGCUAUCUGUGGAUGGGCACUAUUUGACUUGGAGUGCUUCAUGGUGCCAAUGUGUAGUGUAAAGCAUACUUUUAUAUAUUAAAUACUUUGUUUCACUAAUAAUUAUCAGAAUAAUAUAAACCAACUGAAUCUUCUCUCAUUGUAGAUCAUUUUAGCUUUCCUGAUGAGUGUGUUGUUAAAGAAGCCUUUCCUCACCUGCUUGGUUGUUUUCUUUUCACUGUUGUUGGGGGACCUGGGGUACAUGGCAUUGUACAGAUACCUUCUUGUGCCUUUGGAGUGGAUUUUAAGUUUAUUUAGCCCUUUUGCCUUUACACUCGGAAUGGGUCAGGUGAGCAUUUAUCUCUACUAGUGACAUUUCCCAAACAUCAUUACUCUCAGAAAUUUAAUAGUCUGGGGCCAGGGAUAUAGAUCAGAGGCACAGCACCUGCCUGGCAAGCAUAAGGUCCUGAGUUCAGUUCCCAGUACAAAAGAAAGAAACAAACAAACAAACAAACAAACUUAACAGUGUGUAGUCAAUGUCCCAUAUUUACAUUUAGAAUCCUUUUGCCUCUACUGAACAAAAUGCUUGUGGGGUUACAAAGAUGAGUUGGAAAAGCCACGAGACAUUUUCUUCUAGAAAAUAUGUUCUUUUGUAAGUAACAAGAGAAAAAUGAAGAGGAGACUCACAAUCAGUAUCAAUGUGUUUCAUCUGCUCCCAAAAUGGAAUUUGUAUUGUAAAUUGAAUUUUAACUUAUUCCAUACUCAUUUCACUUAAUGUUACAAAACUGUUACAUGAUGCAAUUCUCAAAACUAAAACACAAAAGAAAUUAAAAAUAAUGUAUCUUAGUCAA
Long non-coding RNA from Cavia porcellus (domestic guinea pig), 3723 nucleotides. RefSeq lists it as uncharacterized. The transcript is spliced from 4 exons. Lineage: Eukaryota; Metazoa; Chordata; Mammalia; Rodentia; Caviidae. The record is from RefSeq and is a predicted model, not a curated record.